This 854-nucleotide ribosomal RNA is filed under the name Jiulongibacter sediminis. RNAcentral's name for it is "bacterial SSU rRNA". It matches the Rfam family "Bacterial small subunit ribosomal RNA", at positions 64 to 919 of the family's 1533-position model. Lineage: Bacteria; Pseudomonadati; Bacteroidota; Cytophagia; Cytophagales; Leadbetterellaceae. The record is from RNAcentral.
GGGGUAGAAGGAUUGCUUGCAAGACUUUGAGACCGGCGAACGGGUGCGUAACGCGUAUGCAACCUACCUUUAUCAGGGGGAUAGCCCAGAGAAAUUUGGAUUAAUACCGCAUAAUAAGAGUCAUGGCAUCAUGAUUUUUUGAAAGAUUUAUUGGAUAGAGAUGGGCAUGCGUAGGAUUAGCUAGUUGGUGAGGUAACGGCUCACCAAGGCGACGAUCCUUAGGGGCUCUGAGAGGAGUAACCCCCACACUGGUACUGAGAUACGGACCAGACUCCUACGGGAGGCAGCAGUAGGGAAUAUUGGACAAUGGGCGGAAGCCUGAUCCAGCCAUGCCGCGUGCAGGAAGACGGCCCUCUGGGUUGUAAACUGCUUUUAUAUGGGAAGAAAAUGGCUUUGCGAAGCAAAUUGACGGUACCAUAGGAAUAAGCCACGGCUAACUACGUGCCAGCAGCCGCGGUAAUACGUAGGUGGCGAGCGUUAUCCGGAUUUAUUGGGUUUAAAGGGUGCGUAGGCGGCUUUUUAAGUCGGUGGUGAAAGGUAGCAGCUUAACUGUUUUACAUGCCAUCGAUACUGAAGAGCUUGAGUUAUCAGAAGGCAGGCGGAAUUUCUGGUGUAGCGGUGAAAUGCAUAGAUACCAGAAGGAACACCUAUUGCGAAGGCAGCUUGCUGCAGAUAAACUGACGCUGAUGCACGAAAGCGUGGGGAGCGAACAGGAUUAGAUACCCUGGUAGUCCACGCCGUAAACGAUGAUUACUAGUUGUUGGCGAUAUACAGUCAGUGACCAAGGGAAACCGAUAAGUAAUCCACCUGGGGAGUACGCCGGCAACGGUGAAACUCAAAGGAAUUGACGGGGG